CCCCUGGGGACGAGGAAACCCCGGGAACUGGGGCUAAUCCCUGAUAAGUGAUGAGGCUUGGAAUAGUUCAUCACCCAAAAGCCUCCAGACCAUGCUCAAAGAGGCGCCCAAGGACAAAGCCGCGACCGAUCAGGCUGUUGGUAGGGCAACGGCCUACCAAACCUAUAACCGGUACGGGCCGUGAGAGCGGAAGCCCGGAGAUGGAUACUGAGACAAGGAUCCAGGCCCUACGGGGCGCAGCAGUUGCGAAAACUCCACAAUGCACGAAAGUGUGAUGGGGCUACCCCGAGUGCCGUCCGCUGAGGAUGGCUUUUCUCUGCUGUAAGGAGGCGGAGGAAUAAGGAGAGGGCAAGUCUGGUGUCAGCCGCCGCGGUAAUACCAGCUCUCCGAGUGGUAGGGAUGAUUAUUGGGCUUAAAGCGUCCGUAGCCGGCUUGACAAGUCUUCUGUUAAAUCCAGCAACCCAAUUGUUGGACUGCGGGAGAUACUGUCUAGCUAGAGAACGGGAGAAGUCGACGGUACUCUCAGGGUAGGAGUGAAAUCCUAUAAUCCUGGGAGGACCACCAGUGGCGUAGGCUGUCGGCUAGAACGUGUCUGACGGUGAGGGACGAAAGCUUGGGGAGCGAACCGGAUUAGAUACCCGGGUAGUCCAAGCUGUAAACGAUGCGGGCUAGGUGUUGGGGUGGCUACGUGCCACUUCAGUGCCGCAGGGAAGCCGUUAAGCCCGCCGCCUGGGGAGUACGGUCGCAAGGCUGAAACUUAAAGGAAUUGGCGGGGGAGCAC
RNAcentral lists this ribosomal RNA (781 nucleotides) under uncultured archaeon. RNAcentral describes it as "bacterial SSU rRNA". It matches the Rfam family "Archaeal small subunit ribosomal RNA", at positions 111 to 879 of the family's 1478-position model. The record is from RNAcentral.